AGGGUUCGGCCCUCGGCUGACGGCUCAGUAACACGCGGAUAAUCUGCCCUUAGGUGGAGGAUAAUCUCGGGAAACUGAGAAUAAUAUUCCAUAGAUUUAGGAUGCUGGAAUGCACUUAAAUUGAAAGCUUCGGCGCCUAAGGAUGAGUCUGCGGACUAUCAGGUUGUAGUCAGGGUAACGACCUGACUAGCCUACGACGGAUACGGGUUGUGAGAGCAAUAACCCGGAGAUGAUAUCUGAGACACGAUAUCAGGCCCUACGGGGCGCAGCAGGCGCGAAAACUUCGCAAUGUGCGAAAGCACGACGAGGGAAUCCCAAGUGCUGGCUCGUUAGAGUCAGCUGUUUUUAUGUCUAAAAAGCAUAGAGAGUAAGGGCUGGGUAAGACGGGUGCCAGCCGCCGCGGUAAUACCUGCAGCUCUAGUGGUGGCCGCUAUUAUUGGGCCUAAAACGUCCGUAGCCUGUUUAUUAAAUGCCUAGGUAAAUUGUGUGGCUUAACCAUGCGAAUUCUGGGUAGACUGGUAAACUUGAGACCGGGAGAAGCUAGAGGUACUUCUGGGGUAGAGGUGAAAUUCUGUAAUCCUAGGGGGACCACCAGUGGCGAAAGCGUCUAGCUAGAACGGGUUUGACGGUGAGGGACGAAGCCCUGGGGCGCAAACGGGAUUAGAUACCCCGGUAGUCCAGGGUGUAAACGCUGCUUGCUUGAUGUUGGUUGGGCUCCGAGCCCAAUCAGUGUCGGAGAGAAGUUGUUAAGCAAGCUGCCUGGGAAUUACGGUCGCAAGAC
This 781-nucleotide ribosomal RNA is filed under the name uncultured archaeon. Its description in RNAcentral is "bacterial SSU rRNA". It matches the Rfam family "Archaeal small subunit ribosomal RNA", at positions 63 to 849 of the family's 1478-position model. The record is from RNAcentral.